CUUUCUGGAGUCUGAAAUGUUAAGUAUGGAGGCAAAAGCUGAAGCUGGAGCAACAGUCUCAGAAUAUGACAACAACCAUGAGAAUGGAGGCCAUUCAUAGCAGAACUACGAGACAAGAGGAGCCUAGGUCCCUGAGCUGCAGAACUGCAUACUAACCUGAUGAGAAGACUAAUGCUCAGUGAGGUGAACUCCUUCAGGGCCACAGGCUGUAAAGAUCUAAACACCAUCUGAUCCAGUUUCAAUAUGACUGCCUGGAUGAAGAAGGAUUUGAGACUAAGUUUAUUCCUCCAAAGCAAACCAACUGAGAAUGCAGUUUUCAAUGCAACCCAUCAUCAAAGGGAAGGAGUUGAUGAAAAGAAAUGAAAUUGAAACGUGCACCUGGGGAGAAGUGAUUGAAGGUUCUUCAUUUAAGGGAUUGGCUCCUUUUCUCUUAUUAUACUGUGAAAUCUGAAAACAUCUCUUGAAAUUCUGGUCACUGUCUUCUGGACAUCCCAAGGCGCACCAUCUCCACAGUUCCUCCCUCCUAGAUUAUCCCAUCCAGUGUGGCAUCCAGUGUGGCAAAUGGAAAGACUCUUCCAGUGGGCAACUGAAAAGGACACCAAAGAAAGCAGAUACAGCCCAUGAUCAAAGAAGCACAUAACUUCAGUUUGGAACAUGACUGAUAGAAAGAUCAAUUAGACAAUGUACACCAAUCAAAGGUAAGCACCAACAGGUGCUAUUGUACCAGAAAACAAACACAAAGGCUGAGGCUUUCCAGUGUUUG
RNAcentral lists this long non-coding RNA (763 nucleotides) under Homo sapiens (human). RNAcentral describes it as "HSALNT0337766". Lineage: Eukaryota; Metazoa; Chordata; Mammalia; Primates; Hominidae. The record is from RNAcentral.